RNAcentral lists this ribosomal RNA (208 nucleotides) under uncultured bacterium. RNAcentral's name for it is "partial 16S ribosomal RNA". It matches the Rfam family "Bacterial small subunit ribosomal RNA", at positions 568 to 774 of the family's 1533-position model. The record is from RNAcentral.
CUCGUAGGCGGCCAACUAAGUCAGACGUGAAAUCCCCAGGCUCAACCUGGGAACUGCGUCUGAUACUGGAUGGCUUGAAUCCGGGAGAGGGAUGCAGAAUUCCAGGUGUAGCGGUGAAAUGCGUAGAUAUCUGGAGGAAUACCGGUGGCGAAGGCGGCAUCCUGGACCGGCAUUAACACUGAGGAGCGAAAGCCCAGGGGAGCAAACG